UAAAGUGGCGACCGGGUGAGUAACACGUGACUAACCUACCUCCGAGUGGGGAAUAACUCCGGGAAACCGGGGCUAAUACCGCAUAACAUCGCAAGAUCAAAGCAGCAAUGCGCUUGGAGAGGGGGUCGCGGCUGAUUAGCUAGUUGGCGGGGUAACGGCCCACCAAGGCGAAGAUCGGUAUCCGGCCUGAGAGGGCGCACGGACACACUGGAACUGAAACACGGUCCAG
This 229-nucleotide ribosomal RNA is filed under the name uncultured bacterium. Its description in RNAcentral is "partial 16S ribosomal RNA". It matches the Rfam family "Bacterial small subunit ribosomal RNA", at positions 91 to 334 of the family's 1533-position model. The record is from RNAcentral.